CCGAUAACAGAGGGUCUAAAAUUCUCAGUUCAGUAGACCAGGCUGGCCCCAGGCACUGGCUGUGUUAUCACUGGCAGGCAGACACACUCAUACCGGGGUAAUAAGUUUUCAGGCAUGGAGGGAGGGAGCAAUGGGACACACGAUAGCUCCUUCUGAUACCAGUGAUCUCCUGAGAAAACCACUGAGUGAGAGGUCAGGCUCACUCAUCGGGGGUCUUCACGAUGGGCAAUGCAGCUCUUCUACAGGCAAUCUCUGUGCCAAGCACCAUGCAAAAGCACACAGAAGAGCCCUGUGUUUAUUCAGCCUCCCUUUCUCUGGCCUUCAGUGAUCCUCAUGUCACAAAUGGGCAACUGCGGCUCAAAGAGAAGGUGAGUCAGAUGGAAACUUGAUUGGAAUGUGGCCUGGGUAAGCCACAUGUUUGCUGCAGGGCAGCACUCCAAGCUCCUUCCAGAUGGCUGUUUACUGGUGAGCUGGUUUUUGAAGGGCAAGCAAAAUAGCUAGAGUGGACUGUCUAAACCUGAGACAUCAGCACCUGAACAGAUAGGGAAGGAAGUGUGAAUGGGAAAGAAGAGUCCUGGCGGGCAGGAGCGGUGGUGGCUGCGGAUGGUGUAAUGGAGACGGGCAAUGUUUCAACAGCUCCUGAAGCUCCAGGUUCCUUCCAGUCCCAACAACCUCUUCAUCAUGUUUGCAACUGGCCUUGGGACCAUUUGGUGUUAAUUACAGCAACCCAGGCUUCUCUGUGUGAAGGAAAUCGUCCCUCAUUUCUCUCAUUAAAGUAAAAUAUGACCCGUUUU
Non-coding RNA from Rattus norvegicus (Norway rat), 794 nucleotides. The record is from RefSeq and is a predicted model, not a curated record. NCBI's taxonomy places the organism in Eukaryota, Metazoa, Chordata, Mammalia, Rodentia, Muridae.